Carlito syrichta (Philippine tarsier) is the source of this 1040-nucleotide RNA transcript. It is a transcript of the gene named pre-mRNA-splicing factor 38A pseudogene, with no coding region annotated. The transcript has a single exon. NCBI's taxonomy places the organism in Eukaryota, Metazoa, Chordata, Mammalia, Primates, Tarsiidae. The record is from RefSeq and is a predicted model, not a curated record.
GCUGAACUUGUAGUGGAUAAAGCCAUGGAGUUAAGGUUUGUGGGUGGCGUCUAUGGUGGCCACAUAAAACCAACUCCUUUUCUGUGUUUAACCUUGAAGAUGCUUCAAAUUCAGCCCGAGAAGGAUAUCAUUGUAGAGUUUAUAAAAAAUGAAGAUUUCAAGUAUGUCCACAUGUUGGGGGCACUUUACAUGAGGUUGACAGGCACUGCAAUUGACUGCUACAAAUACUUGGAGCCUUUGUACAACGACUAUCGAAAAAUCAAGAGCCAGAACCGAAAUGGGGAAUUUGAAUUGAUGCAUGUAGAUGAGUUUAUUGAUGAACUACUGCACAGUGAGAGAGUCUGUGAUAUCAUUCUGCCCCGGCUACAGAAACGUUAUGUGCUAGAGGAAGCUGAGCAGCUGGAGCCUCGAGUUAGUGCUCUAGAAGAAGACAUGGAUGACGUGGAAUCCAGUGAAGAGGAAGAAGAGGAGGAUGAAAAGUUGGAAAGAGUGCCAUCACCUGAUCACCGCAGAAGAAGUUACCGAGAUUUGGACAAGCCCCGCCGUUCUCCCACUCUGCGCUACAGGAGGAGUAGGAGCCGGUCGCCCAGAAGGCGGAGUCGAUCUCCCAAAAGGAGAAGCCCCUCCCCCCGCCGAGAAAGGCAUCGGAGCAAGAGUCCAAGGCGUCACCGCAGCAGAUCCCGAGAUCGACGGCACAGAUCUCGCUCCAAGUCACCAGGUCACCACCGUAGUCAUAAACACAGGAGCCACUCAAAAUCUCCUGAAAGGUCUAAGAAAAGCCACAAGAAGAGCCGGAGAGGGAAUGAGUAAUGGACUCAGUUUUGUUUUAAUCCAAAAUGGCCUCCUCUGUAUAUGGGGUAUCUGUCUAUGUGGAAGAAUUAAGAUUCCAUGGGCAGCUGUAAGAUUAUUUUAGGUUUUUUAUCAAGUUUCUCCACUUUUUUUUUUAAUGAAAGUGGUGCUGAGUUUUGUAUCUCUUUUUGAAAUGUAACCAACAUCUUUGAGGGAUAAAGAUGUUUCCCAAGGUCAGUUUUUGACCCAGC